GCGUUAUCCGGAAUUAUUGGGCGUAAAGAGCUCGUAGGCGGUUUGUCGCGUCUGCCGUGAAAGUCCGGGGCUCAACUCCGGAUCUGCGGUGGGUACGGGCAGACUAGAGUGAUGUAGGGGAGACUGGAAUUCCUGGUGUAGCGGUGAAAUGCGCAGAUAUCAGGAGGAACACCGAUGGCGAAGGCAGGUCUCUGGGCAUUAACUGACGCUGAGGAGCGAAAGCAUG
RNAcentral lists this ribosomal RNA (226 nucleotides) under uncultured bacterium. RNAcentral describes it as "partial 16S ribosomal RNA". It matches the Rfam family "Bacterial small subunit ribosomal RNA", at positions 538 to 763 of the family's 1533-position model. The record is from RNAcentral.